This 328-nucleotide ribosomal RNA is filed under the name uncultured eukaryote. RNAcentral describes it as "partial 18S ribosomal RNA". It matches the Rfam family "Eukaryotic small subunit ribosomal RNA", at positions 1470 to 1796 of the family's 1831-position model. The record is from RNAcentral.
CCCUUAGAUGUUCUGGGCCGCACGCGCGCUACACUGAUGCACUCAACGAGUCUCCGCCUUGACCGAAAGGUCCGGGAAACCUUCGAACUUGCAUCGUGAUGGGGAUAGAUUAUUGCAACUAUUAAUCUUCAACGAGGAAUACCUAGUAGGCGCAUGUCAUCAGCGUGCGUCGAUUACGUCCCUGCCCUUUGUACACACCGCCCGUCGCUCCUACCGAUUGAAUGGUCCGGUGAGCUUUUUGGAUUGUGGCAACGGCUUAGGUUCGCCUAACUGAUGCCGCGAGAAGAUACGCAAACCUUAUCAUUUAGAGGAAGGAGAAGUCGUAACA